GAGUCAGCUAGGAGGAGGCCAGAGGGAAACAGUGGGGCUUUCGAAGCUUAUCAAAAGCAAACCUUGCUCUUUUGAAAAAGCAUUUUCCAAAGCAACCUGGGGACAAAGUGGGGUUAAAUCUUACACAGAUUGCUUAUGAGCAAGAGUUAAGUGGCUAACAAGCCAUGAAAUCUUACGGAGAAGCAGGUAAAGCCAAAAUUAAAAACUCCCUCCGAGUCAGCCCAUUCUGCGACCCACCUCCUGCCUUUUGCGGCAGGAACUCUACUCCAUCGAGGGGCUUUGCUGCAGUGGCACUGCCCACGCAUACUCAACUAAAAGACUCAGACCACGCCAGCCAUGCCACGAGGAUGCCUCCAAGCUGUGAGAAAAUCAAGCAUCUACAAGGAAAGGCCACAUGUCGGCAUUCCAGCCACAGCCUCAGCUGAGGUCAGAGCCAACAGCCAGUAUCAACCACUAACCACACAAGUGAAGGAGACUUCGAAGCUUCAAACUGCCCCAGCUAAUGCCAAGUGGAGCAGAGAUGAGUUGUCCCUGCCGAAAUUGUGGACUCAUGGGCAAAAUAAAUGUAGUCGUUUUAAGACA
Molecule: small RNA, 582 nt
Filed under: Pongo abelii (Sumatran orangutan)
Lineage: Eukaryota; Metazoa; Chordata; Mammalia; Primates; Hominidae
Description: processed transcript
Source: RNAcentral